AAGUAAGAUAUCUUUAUAAAGAUGGCGCCGGCCGAGGUGCCGGCAUGAAAUUCACGUGCUGCCGUGGUCAGACGUGGGAUAAACAUUGUACGAGCAGGGUGUGUGCUUGUUGCUAGCUAAAUUAUUUUGAGACGCCACUUAGGUUUUGGCUAUAUACAUACAACAAUUUCUGUUAUCUAAUAGUGCAAAUUUGCACUGAUAAUUGCUGAGUUUUAAUUAUCACUUAUCGUGGAACCGUAGGGAGCUGUUUUCGCAGUUUGCUUACAACGACGACUUUUUCUCCGUUGUUUUAUUUUGAGUUAAUUUUGUUCGUGGGGCACACGAACUGGCGCCCAAAUAGGUUGUCUAACCCAGCCUGAGCAGAGCUGCAGGUCCAGGGAGAUUCAGGAUAUCUCCAGGUAGUGAAAUAGGAGUAAUAAGGAUGUUUUCCUGGAGCUGAAUUUUAAUAAGGCGAAUUUUAGUGGAGCAUGGUGUUUCCUCAGGAGUUAUGUCAACGGCUGUAAGAAGCGGCUGUUAAUAAUGUUCGGAGUUGCGCAUGCGCUGUGAGAGGAUGAUUAGAUUGGAGCGUUGAAAUCUGAGAGGCGAAGGCCUCUCGUGGUACGAGUUGGAGUUGCUGAUUUACUUGCAGAGAAGACGACACGACUUGAAAGAGCUGGUGGAGUUUCCUGGAGCUCGAUGACUUCUGGUUGGUCCUUAAUUUGGACAGACCUUGAUUUAAAGUCUGAGGUACGUCUGGUUUCUUUUACUGGCUUAGGAUGUACCUCGCCUGGCUGCUUGUUUUUCUUGUAGGUGAAGCAGCGCUUCUUGCUUGAGCAUACGCAACAUUUGAAGAAUAUUGGAACGACGAGGAUGACACACAGGACAGCUAGGAUGGAUAUGUUUCCCACCGUCAUCGUUCGAUGGAUAUCGUCUUCUUGAUGGUGUAAUGAUAUUUCGGACAUUCGAUUUUCCGUUUCUUCCAAUCCUGUUCCCCAGGGUCGGAAUUUGUCUACUGUUUUUAACGGGUCGACGUUUUUCUUGAAGAGAAAUCUAGAUAUUUUUGGUUCAUCUGUUAAAUUCGUUGAUAGCGUUUCCGAGGCUAAGUUCAACCUUGGCAAGGUGAUGUUCAGCUGAGUGAUCUCUUUAUCUAUGCUUUUGAUUAUAUAUUUUUCGCUUUUAAUUUCGCAUCUACCGUGAACAUGGACCAUUCCUGUUCCGUUGAUGUGUUAUUCUUUCUCAACCGGAUAUAAGCACUUGAAGAUUAGCUUUUCUUCCUUACAAGUCGAUUACACCCAAGAAUUUGAUUGAUUGAGCUUGAUCCACGUGGUUUUACACUCUAGGAUGGUGCGGACAUUGCAAGUUCUUGAGAUAUCCUCAGUUGACUUCAAAAGCAGCUUCAUUUCACAGUCUACUUCUUCUUGGACUUCGGCAGACUGGAAUGGUAUGUCGGGACGACAAGACAAAUCGUCCCCGAUAGAUUUGCAUUUGUUGAUAUAUUCAGAAUCUGCUAAGUAGAAUCUCCUCAAGCCUGGGUCCGUAACUAAGAACCUUUUCAACGGUAGUAUCGUCAGUGUCUGAAUUUUGUCAUUCAGAUUUUCUGGCUUUGGCAGUCGUUUCAUUUCGUAUGAUAAUAACGGAAUUUCAUGGAACAGGGGUAGGGUUACUAUGAUAAGCAGAUAACGUUUCGCCCUUGCUACUUUUACUGUAGACACAGCUGACAAGGUUGAGAUAUCCAUUCGGUCAAUUGGUUGAGGUGGAUUCAAAUCCGGAUGCUUCCUCAUGAUGUCGACGGAUGCUCGGUAGAGUUGACUUGGUGAUAUAGCUUGUGGGAAGAGUCGGCCGGCCUUGGCUUCCUCUAUGAUGGAUUCAGCUUCCUCCAGGACUCGAAGAUGGUUACUGGCAAUCUCCUUUCGCUCAUACCCCAGCAUCAUGACUUUCAUCAAAUAUGCGAGUUUACCCAAGUAAUUGUUGGUGGAAUUCAUCAAGUUCGUAGUAGCGCCUACAAGAUUAUUCAGAUAGGACUGCAUUUAAGCCUCACUUUGGAGAAUAGUAAUGAUCUCACUCUUGACGAGGUGAAUGGCGUUCUGUACUAGGUGCACCAUUUCUGCAUUGUCUUGAUAUAAUUUGUUGAUCUCGUUGGUGAUAUGUUCUUUGUCUUCAUAGUCCAUGGUUCCGAACAGUUCUCGGGCAAUUGUGCCGACAAACCCGAACCAUGGAGCUCGUUGAUUACGGUCAAACGGCGGAGUUUUAAAUGUUGUUUCUUCAAGGAGCUGGUCCAAGCGGCAUUUAGCUUGAUUUAUUGAGGCUUGUAUUUCGGUUAUUAGGUCCAUCUUCAGGUAGUGCAUGCAAGACCCAGAGCCGAUAAUUUUGGUACAGCCUAGCAUGGUCGAGUGGAGAUGGUUCCACUCAAAGGGAUACAUAUCGACCAAUCCUCGGACGUUAAUGGAAGAAAUGAUGCACCAGUUUUUUUCUACCAGGUGAAUCUUCUUAAACGGGUCAUACAGUAGACCCGGGUUGUCUGCCAGAGGCUGGAUGGUCAGGUCGUCCUUGGAUUGACCCCCUUGGAUGACGAUGAUCAGGAAUAUCAAUAAUUGUCUCAUGAUGAUAAGAGAUUAGAGGAUCUGAAACAGAGAACUUUAUAAAGGUUUAGCCUCAUGGUCGAAAGCAGGUUUAGCUUUAUUAGGGUUUACCAAUUUGCGGUUUCCUUUGUCCAAACAUCAACUCGAAUGGAGUGAAUUUGGUUGAAGUAUGCACAUUUGUAUGUCAACGCCGCAAGACUCACAUAUCAAUCCCAGUCCGGAUACUUAUCCGAGAUUACUCUUAAGAAAUCUAUCAGUGGUUGAUGGCUCCUUUCUAGAGAACCAUUUGAUUGGGGGUAACAACCCGAAGUCGUUAAUCUUUGGAUUUUUAGAGCUUUCGCAAGUUGUUGUAUUAAUUUAGAGGUAAAUAAAGUACCUUUAUCUGAGAGGAUAACUCUUGGGCAACCAUAAUAGCACAUAUAACGAUCUACAAGGUCUUCUGCCACUGUUGUCGAUCGGAUAUCAGGUAUCGGGAUUGCUGUUACGGCUUACGAAAAGUUAUCCUGAAUAGUCAAUAUGUGGACAUUCCCACUCCUAGUCAUAGGAAGUGGUCUAACAGUAUCAAUAGAGAUUUUCUCGAAAGGUUCGAAGGGAGUAUCGGUUAUCAUCAUUGGUUGUUUUGUUUUGAUUCGGGUGAAUUUAUUCUUCUGGCAGAUUUUGCAUUUCUGGAUGAAUCUAUAGAUUCAUUCCUUCAUGCCUGGCCAGUAGAAUCUCUCUCGAAUUCGCCAAUAAGUUUUCACGACACCCUCGUGGCCCGCAAUAGGGCUGCAGUGGUUUUCUUCAAUGAUUUGAUCGCGUAACUCUUCGGUAGGAACUUCUAUAUUUCCUUUGCAAAGUGUUACCUCGAUAGGACAGUCGCCCAAUUCUUGUAUAAGAUAAGGCUUAAUGUUUAUAUCAUCGAAUUCAUCCCCCUGUUUCGCCAUGCGGAAUGUAUAGAUUUCGUGUUUGAACAUGGACACUCUUGAAUUUCGUAAUCCUUCAAUUAAAUUAUUUAAAUCGAUUUUUUUGAAAUGAUUUUUCUUGACAAAGACCGUGAAGAUAAAGCACUGACCCAAUUUUGUGAUUAAUACAUCACCCAUUUUUGGUUUGGCUGUCUUCAGGUCUUCUUGAUCGAUGAAAGUGAGAUCUCUUAACAAUCGUGAAACUGGUUUCACCAACUCAGAAUUCAGAGACAGGAAAAUUUACCAUGUGGUCUCUCACAUAAGUAAUUCCAUCUCGACUGUCCUUGAAUUUGAUUCGAUUUUCAGGUAGUUUCCGAGGUCUAUCAAACUCGACCCCCAGUUGUCCGGUGGAGUCGUGUGGAGAGGGUCAGAUUCAUUUACCUGAGCAUUUCCGUCGUCUUGUUCCCGAUGUACUUCCACUUGAAUCACUGUUGCUUCAUCAGAUUGGCUGGCAUCUGAUUGGUCUGAUUGAGAAGAUCUCUCCGCUAUGAUUAUACGAUCGUUUGCAGAGUUUCGAUUUGGUGAACUGGGCUGCUGAUUUUCAUUCAGCAAGGUCUUUUCUUGUCCCAGAUUUUUACUUGGGAUGUCACUUUGCGUUUGGGCGUUUCCACAUGUGCCGUACUGGAUGAGGCUGCAGGAACAUCUUCGACGUUCAGAGUUUGGCAGGUAGAAGGCCUCGCGAUGACUGGAGAUGUAUUGUCAUCAGAGCUUCCGGUGUCUUUCCAAUAAAAGAUUUUUGUAUGAUCGUCAUAGUCAAGUUCCUUGCAAUUUGCCUGCGCAGCUUUCAGCACCGUGCUUUUCCACAUAGGAGUCGAAGACUUCGAAAAUCGAUAACCAUUCUCCACUUUUUGUUUCCUUGAGCGUCCGAUUUCUUGGGGACAAUCCAUAAUGGAGAAUUAUACGGAGAUUUUAAUUUUCGAAUAAUUCCUUGUUUGAGUAGAUUAUCCACUUGCUUCUUAAUUUCGUCGCGGUGUUCUUGAAGAAACUGAUAUUGCUUGAUUCGGACCGGUUUGUCACUCGUGGUUUCGAUUUUGCAGGUGAACUUUUUAGAACGUCCCAGGCGAUCACCAGGGAGGUGAAAUAUGUCAUGAUUUUUCUGAAUAAGUCGGAAAAUUUGCUUCCUUUCGGUGCGACUGAGAUGAUUGGUAGGAAUUUUAUCAAAGAUUGCUUGGAUACGAUCUCGCUUAGAGAGUGAGUGUAUUCCAGAUGGAGUUUCCGCUAUGUCAGAAAAUUGAUCGGAUGGGUCCAGAUGAUCUAAUUCAAAUUCUUCAAGCACUUGAGGUUCAAUUUCAAUUUCUGCUGGAUCUGAUGUGGUAUUGAUGACCAUACACAUCGCUUGAUCGUCAUCAACUGAGACAACGGCUUCGCCCAUUAAGAGUCCCUCUUUAAGAGGAAUCUUACGGAGGUAGCCUUGUUUGAUCUCAGGAUUUACAACAGGUACCGACACGGACAUUCGCAUACGGGGUGGAAUUACGUAUGAACGGGAUGGUUUUAUUCCGAGACUGAAAGGUAAAGGUCGGGAAGAUCAAGAUGGGAAUUCAGAGAUUGAUGAUGAUAUGAAAUCUCCACUUGUUCAUUUUUCAGGAAGUUGUUGCCCAAAGUUCCGACACCAUGGAAGGUUAAAUUCCCAUCACAAACAUGGAAUUGGAUUUUUGAACCCAAAACCUUUAAUUCCACAGUACCAAUUGUUUCCACGGACUGUCCAUUCAAACCACGGAGUAGCAUCGUAUUACCACGAUCCACUCUUAUUUCGGGUUUAAGGGCGGAAGAAUUUAUCAAACACACAUUCUCCCUGUGUCUAUGAGAAAGCAUUGUAAUUCUCCAUGAAGCAAAUUACAUGAGUCGAAAAUUUUUGGCCCUGUCCCUAGGGACAGGAUAUAUCUCACAUCAAGGUCGUUAUCCAUUGAAAAAGGAAUAGGACGAGUAGGUCGAUUUUUGAGGACCAGCGUAUUCCAAUAAAAGGAAUUGCCAGCUCGUUCUUUGAUGAAAAAUUAAUUUCCAAGGAUGCCCAGAUAACCACCUGGUGGUAUAGGUACAACCUGGAAACAAACAUCUUCGUCAAAGAUCUUGAGGGUCACAGUUCUAAUUAUUGGCAUACUGCUGGUCGCGAUGCCGCCCACCACACCCCCAUUUUCAGGGUAAAAGGUGGUAUCAUCCCCCAGAGCAUCGAUGCAAAGGAGAUUCAGGUCAAAACCUGUAUCCAAUAUAAAUUUUCUAUAAGAUUAUGCUAUGGACUUCUUUAUAUGAGGUGAUUCAUAUAAAAAGUGAUUAGCGAUAUUAAAUACCCAUAAGAACGGUGAUUCCGAGUAUUCUAAAAAUUCAUAAGUAACAAGUAUCUAAAACUCCUUUUUUCUAAUUGUUUUUGAUAGUUUUUCUUAAUAAGGGAUAGUACCUAAUUUUUUUUCGCUUUUCUUCACACGUACACACACACACACAUACACACACAGACACACACACACAUACACACACACAGGCGCGCGCGCAAUCACUAUAAAAAUCUAAUCUGCUUAAAAUCUUACAAUUUCAGAUCUGAGAAAGGAUUUCGAAAAUUUGAGAGAGGCUUAUAACCGCCAGCAGAAGAUCUUGCUUGAACUGCAGAAAAAAUUUCUGCAGCAUGGAAUCAAGCAGGCUGACGAUAAAGACCAGGGUCAGGAUGGAGGCCACGGUGGAGAAGGAAGUGGACAUGUUGCCCGAGGUGACCAACCUAGCCAGGGCCGCCACAAUAGUCAACAUGUCCAAAAAAACGAAGGAUUUGGUGACAGUGGAGGUGGUGGCAAUGGAGGUGGUGGCAGUGGAGUUGGUAGCAGUGGAGGU
Molecule: long non-coding RNA, 6313 nt
Organism: Microplitis demolitor
Lineage: Eukaryota; Metazoa; Arthropoda; Insecta; Hymenoptera; Braconidae
Exons: 5
Source: RefSeq, a predicted model, not a curated record